GUGCCCAUGUGCCAGCCCUUGCUGGGGAUACUGCAUUGCUACAUGCCAAUGGCUGUGGUGAGUGAGGGCUGCAAGCAGGUCAUUUAUUUACAGGUGCAGUCCAGAGGGAACAGCCUGAGAGGAAUGUAAGUGCAACUGUAUUGGUGUUUGUGCUGGACUUGUCUUUUACCUUUCCUUAUCCUUUAAUUACACCUCCUUUCCAUUUCAACCCUUCUCCCUUUCCAUAUUAUGUCCCUCCCAUUGGUCUGUUCUUUCCUUAUAUCCCCACCCAGGCUGAGCACCUCCCAGACAUGUUCCUUUCUGCCUGACCGGACUGGUUGGGCCACUGCAUGUGGUGACAUGAUCCAGAGAUCAGCGCCACCUGCUGAACUUGCAACUUAUUCCUGGCCUAAUCCUAAGGAGGAAAAUACAUACAGAAUCUAUCAGCACAGAUCAUUCAGCCUUCAGCAUCCUCUCUUCCAUACUCUACAGAUCAUUGUCUUUCCCACAGAAUUCUGGUGGUGGGCAACUGCAAAAUAUUGUGGUGGAUUUUGUCAGCGACGUGCAUUCUGAUCUAAAGCACCCACAUAAGCACAUAGCACCCAACUGGCAGGACCGAGCAGCGUGAAACACAUGGAAGAAGACAAACAGCAGAUAAUGUGAUGUGGAUAUGGAAUGGCUGAUCCACUGAAGAUAUUGUUACACACUGCCCGGCUGGGUAACGUGGGACUUUGGGACCGAGAGAGACUUUCCUGUCAAGUCCUUUUAAAGGAA
This is a long non-coding RNA of Xenopus laevis (African clawed frog), 753 nucleotides long. RefSeq lists it as uncharacterized. Lineage: Eukaryota; Metazoa; Chordata; Amphibia; Anura; Pipidae. The record is from RefSeq and is a predicted model, not a curated record. The transcript has 3 exons.